This 480-nucleotide ribosomal RNA is filed under the name uncultured bacterium. RNAcentral's name for it is "partial 16S ribosomal RNA". It matches the Rfam family "Bacterial small subunit ribosomal RNA", at positions 28 to 507 of the family's 1533-position model. The record is from RNAcentral.
GAUGAACGCUAGCGGCAGGCCUAACACAUGCAAGUCGAGGGGUAGAAGGCGCUCGCUUCUUUGCGACCGGCGCACGGGUGCGUAACACGUAUGCAAUCUACCUUGUACAGGGGAAUAGCCCAGAGAAAUUUGGCUUAAUCCCCCAUCGUAUAUAACCUUCGCAUGGUGGUUAUCUUAAAGUUCCAACGGUACAAGAUGAGCAUGCGUUCCAUUAGUUAGUUGGUAAGGUAACGGCUUACCAAGACGAUGAUGGGUAGGGGUGCUGAGAAGGAGAUACCCCAGAAUGGAACCGAGGCACAGACCAGACUGCGACGGAGGGGAGGAGUAGGGAAGACUAGGGGAGGGAGGCUAGACUGACCCAGCCAUGCGGCGGACAAGAGCACGGGCGUAGGGAUUGUAAACUGCUUUGAAACAAGAAGAAACCCUCACACGAGUGGGGGCUUGACGGUACUGUAAGAAUAAGGACCGGCUAACUACGUG